This 497-nucleotide ribosomal RNA is filed under the name uncultured bacterium. Its description in RNAcentral is "partial 16S ribosomal RNA". It matches the Rfam family "Bacterial small subunit ribosomal RNA", at positions 28 to 507 of the family's 1533-position model. The record is from RNAcentral.
GACGAACGCUGGCGGCGUGCCUAAUACAUGCAAGUUGAGCGAUGAAGAUUGGUGCUUGCACCAAUUUGAAGAGCAGCGAACGGGUGAGUAACGCGUGGGGAAUCUGCCUUUGAGCGGGGGACAACAUUUGGAAACGAAUGCUAAUACCGCAUAACAACUUUAAACAUAAGUUUUAAGUUUGAAAGAUGCAAUUGCAUCACUCAAAGAUGAUCCCGCGUUGUAUUAGCUAGUUGGUGAGGUAAAGGCUCACCAAGGCGAUGAUACAUAGCCGACCUGAGAGGGUGAUCGGCCACAUUGGGACUGAGACACGGCCCAAACUCCUACGGGAGGCAGCAGUAGGGAAUCUUCGGCAAUGGACGAAAGUCUGACCGAGCAACGCCGCGUGAGUGAAGAAGGUUUUCGGAUCGUAAAACUCUGUUGGUAGAGAAGAACGUUGGUGAGAGUGGAAAGCUCAUCAAGUGACGGUAACUACCCAGAAAGGGACGGCUAACUGCGUG